Molecule: long non-coding RNA, 1927 nt
Organism: Felis catus (domestic cat)
Lineage: Eukaryota; Metazoa; Chordata; Mammalia; Carnivora; Felidae
Exons: 2
Source: RefSeq, a predicted model, not a curated record
CAGGCUCCGAGCCUGUCAGCACAGAGCCCGAUGUGGGGCUCGAACCCACGAACCGUGAGAUCAUGCCUUGAGCCGAAGUCGGACGCUUAACCGACUGAGCCACGCAGGUGCCCCUCGGUGGCAUCUUUUGGUGGCCUUUCCCACCAGUAGUCCUCAGGGGGGAACCAUGUAAACGCAUCAGAGACUCAUAAUCUUGAGUCUGAAAAGGGGGUAUUGAGGUAUUGGGGUGCUGAUCCCCUUUCCUCUCAAUUACAUAUUUAGUAAGUAAAUGGGAUUCCAUUGACUCUGAUUCUAAUCCCAAGGAUUUCUCAUGAGUCACACAAAACCUGAACCCGCCUGUGGAAAUUCAAGCAACUUUUGCUUAUUCCUUACAGAUGACUUUGAAUCAUUUGUAGCAAUUGCUCAAUUGGGAAGCUUUAAAUGAAAACAUAAACUUUCUCAGCUUAAGUCUGUGUUUCAUCCAGUGACAGUUUCGUUGUUUUGUUACCUCUUUCCCCCCACCCUUCCUUGAGAGCAGGAAAGAUUUUCUCCCCCAUUAUCACAUGCACAGUGUCCAACACAGAACUGGCACAUAAUAGAAGUUAAACAAAUGUUGGCUGGAUGGAUGAAGGCAUAAAUGGAUGGCUGGAGGGACAGAUGACAGAUGGAUGAAUGGCAAGACAGACCCAUAGAUCUGUGGCCAGCUAGGUGGACAAGGCCACAGCAUUGACAGUGCUGAACUGUGAUACAGUUGUUAGCUACUUUCUCAUGAGGACGUUGGUGGACUGAAUGUUUGCUGAGCUAACCCGGCAGAAAAUCUUAGCUAUUGACUGGUUUUGAAAAAGACAUGUAAGUAAGAUCUUUACUUAUGCAUCAGCUAGUUGCUUUUCCCUGCUGCCAUUUUGUUGGCUUAAUUUUUCAGCAAUGAUACGCAUGUCAAAUAGAUAUGAUUAACAUCCUUUGAAGGACUCCUGGCCCGGAAGCCACAGAACUGUCCAGACUAGAGUCUGUGCCAUGGAGCUGGCACCUUUUCGGCCUCCAGCAUGCCUCAACACCCUGUAAGAGGUGUCCCUGUGCUUCCGCACCAACUCAGAGUUCCCAGACCAAAGAACACAAUUUCUGCCCCUCCAGGGACACCCUCCCCAUCAGGAGGGGCAGAGAGCUUGCAAGAGUGAGCAGACUGGACAGACAGUCCACCGGGAGGGCUGUGGGUAAUGCUUCACGUUCCUGUUAAUAGUGGACUGGGACAGCAAACCUGUUAGAAGAAGCGCCCUCUGUUCCUGCUGUUGUCCCGCUAACCUCCAUUAGACCUGCCAGUCAAGCCUUUGUCUGCUCUGCUCUCCACCCUGAGUCUGACAUCCCUCUGGCAGGAGGGCACUGGCCAGCUGCCCUAUGGUUAUUCCUGCUCUGCCACCGCCCCCACUCCCCGACCUGGCUUCUUGUUACUCAGGUCUAUCUCCGGCCCACAUCCUGCUCAGUUCUGCCUAAGGCCCAGCGUAGGAUUGGUCGGUUCUGAUAGAAUGUUCUGCAUAGUAGCAGGCUGAAGUGUUCCUGAUGAUAAUUCCAUCUCUUGAUUCCGUUUCCAUCCCCUGGGGCAAUACUGAAGACUCCCAUCUUCUGCAUGAGGCUCCUUCAGGGUUUUGAAGACAACUAACGUGUCCCCUUAAGACUUCCCUCAAAGCUGACAGCUCCAGUUCUGGCAACAGUUGCCCCGAGUUUCGCUUUCCAGACCUUCAGCAUUCUAGACAUUUUGUGGCAUGACCAAUGUACUCUGGAGAAGUCUUUUAGAAGACUGACCAACUGUCCCAGAUUGGAGAAGACUAAGGAGAUACGACAGGUUAAUCUCUGGAAUCCCCACGUGCCCAAAUCAAUUUGUUUCUGGGACUACCAUAACAAAGCACCACAAACUUGGUGGCUUCGAACAAUAAAAAGGUAUCCUCUCACAGUU